This 253-nucleotide ribosomal RNA is filed under the name uncultured bacterium. RNAcentral's name for it is "partial 16S ribosomal RNA". It matches the Rfam family "Bacterial small subunit ribosomal RNA", at positions 524 to 776 of the family's 1533-position model. The record is from RNAcentral.
UACGUAGGGGGCAAGCGUUGUCCGGAUUUAUUGGGCGUAAAGAGCUCGUAGGCGGAUCUUUAAGUCAGGGGUGAAAUCCUGGAGCUCAACUCCAGAACUGCCUUUGAUACUGGGGAUCUCGAGUCCGGAAGAGGUGAGUGGAACUCCGAGUGUAGAGGUGAAAUUCGUAGAUAUUCGGAAGAACACCAGUGGCGAAGGCGGCUCACUGGUCCGGUACUGACGCUGAGGUGCGAAAGCGUGGGGAGCAAACAGG